GUUCCCUUAUCGGAAUUGACUUGCAUCACACCCUCACCGGGUUGGUUUGGGCCUGAUGAGGAAGGGAGAAGGGUUACUAAGGUCCAGUGCUUCUCUAGCCAGGGCACAGUCAAUUUCUAUAUGAGGCCACUUGAAGGGCUAACAAUAACCGUGGACCUCGACAAGAAAGAGGUGGUGGAAUUUCUUGACAAGGGGAGAGGAAUUCCAGUUCCAAAAGCCACUAACACAGAUUACAGAUACACAGCACAAGACAAGCCACUAGAAAUGGAGCCAAUAAACCCAAUAUCAAUAGAACAACCGAAAGGUCCAAGCUUUAGUAUAGAAAAUCGACACAUGGUUAAAUGGGCAAAUUGGAUUUUCCACCUGAAGGCUGACCAACGAGCUGGCAUGAUCAUUUCCCGAGCUAUGGUUAGGGACUCGGAGACUGGGGUGCUAAGGAGUGUGAUGUACAAAGGGUUCUCUUCCGAGUUGUUUGUGCCUUACAUGGACCCAGAUGAGAACUGGUAUUUUAAAUCAUACAUGGAUGCCGGUGAGUUUGGUCUGGGGGCAACAGCGAUGUCACUUAUGCCACUAAAUGAUUGCCCGAGGUACGCACACUAUGUGGAUGGAAUUUUUGUGUCUUCUGAUGGGAAGCCAUAUGUUCAACCCAAUAUGAUUUGUGUGUUCGAACGUUAUGCUGGAGAUAUCGGUUGGCGUCAUUCGGAGAUCCCUGUUAAUGGUUUUGAGAUUAAAGAAGCAAGAGCUAAAGUGACACUAGUGGCUCGAAUGGC
RNAcentral lists this unclassified non-coding RNA (770 nucleotides) under Hevea brasiliensis (rubber tree). Lineage: Eukaryota; Viridiplantae; Streptophyta; Magnoliopsida; Malpighiales; Euphorbiaceae. The record is from RNAcentral.